CGCGGACGAAGAAGUCGUGGGCCUCGACCCACUCGGUGGACCCUGCUGGGAAGCUGGGGGAGUCGUCAGUGUGGACGGAAUGGGGACUGCCGGAGAGGAUGACAACGCUGGGGUUGAGGUCGGUGAUGGCCUUGAGGGGGCUGGUGCAGGAGAUGGUGAGGGAGAAGACGGAGAGGGAUCGGAUGCGGCGAGUGAUGAGGUGGGUGUAUGGGAGCCGUAGUCGAGGAUGAAGACCAAGUCCGAUUUCACGGCUUUUGGGUCCAUGGAAGAGAUGGCCAUGGCUAC
Molecule: long non-coding RNA, 285 nt
Filed under: Rosa chinensis
Lineage: Eukaryota; Viridiplantae; Streptophyta; Magnoliopsida; Rosales; Rosaceae
Description: sRNA RchiOBHm_Chr5g0057991
Source: RNAcentral